RNAcentral lists this ribosomal RNA (236 nucleotides) under uncultured bacterium. RNAcentral's name for it is "partial 16S ribosomal RNA". It matches the Rfam family "Bacterial small subunit ribosomal RNA", at positions 1264 to 1500 of the family's 1533-position model. The record is from RNAcentral.
GGAGCGAAUCGCUAAAAGCCGUCCCAGUUCGGAUUGCAGGCUGCAACCCGCCUGCAUGAAGUUGGAAUCGCUAGUAAUCGCGGAUCAGCAUGCCGCGGUGAAUACGUUCCCGGGCCUUGUACACACCGCCCGUCACACCAUGAGAGUCGGGAACACCCGAAGUCCGUAGCCUGACCGCAAGGGGGGCGCGGCCGAAGGUGGGUUCGAUAAUUGGGGUGAAGUCGUAACAAGGUACC